RNAcentral lists this ribosomal RNA (497 nucleotides) under uncultured bacterium. RNAcentral's name for it is "partial 16S ribosomal RNA". It matches the Rfam family "Bacterial small subunit ribosomal RNA", at positions 28 to 507 of the family's 1533-position model. The record is from RNAcentral.
GAUGAACGCUGGCGGCGUGCCUAAUACAUGCAAGUCGAGCGAACAGACGAGGAGCUUGCUCCUCUGACGUUAGCGGCGGACGGGCGAGUAACACGUGGAUAACCUACCUAUAAGACUGGGAUAACUUCGGGAAACCGGAGCUAAUACCGGAUAAUAUAUUGAACCGCAUGGUUCAAUAGUGAAAGACGGUUUUGCUGUCACUUAUAGAUGGAUCCGCGCCGCAUUAGCUAGUUGGUAAGGUAACGGCUUACCAAGGCAACGAUGCGUAGCCGACCUGAGAGGGUGAUCGGCCACACUGGAACUGAGACACGGUCCAGACUCCUACGGGAGGCAGCAGUAGGGAAUCUUCCGCAAUGGGGGAAAGCCUGACGGAGCAACGCCGCGUGAGUGAUGAAGGUCUUCGGAUCGUAAAACUCUGUUAUUAGGGAAGAACAAAUGUGUAAGUAACUAUGCACGUCUUGACGGUACCUAAUCAGAAAGCCACGGCUAACUACGUG